Molecule: small nuclear RNA, 143 nt
Filed under: Sarcophilus harrisii (Tasmanian devil)
Lineage: Eukaryota; Metazoa; Chordata; Mammalia; Dasyuromorphia; Dasyuridae
Description: U4 spliceosomal RNA
Rfam family: U4 spliceosomal RNA
About the family: U4 small nuclear RNA (U4 snRNA) is a component of the major U2-dependent spliceosome. The structure of U4 snRNA from yeast and human has been reported.
Source: Rfam by way of RNAcentral
AGCUCUGUGCACUGACUUUAUCAGAGCCAAUGAGGUUUAACCGUGACUCUAUUUUUGCUGAUUGAAAACUUCUCCUAUUACCCUGCUAUAUCAACUUGAAUACGCAUUGGUAAAUAUCAGAGCACAAAGAUUCGAAAUCUUUG